Molecule: small RNA, 28 nt
Filed under: Arabidopsis thaliana (thale cress)
Lineage: Eukaryota; Viridiplantae; Streptophyta; Magnoliopsida; Brassicales; Brassicaceae
Description: ATSL241920
Source: RNAcentral
AUUGCUCUUGUAUAUACUGAACAUAAUC